ACGGGCCACCCAGCAGGUGAGUGAGUUUUAGGGGAGCACUGCCUGGGGCCUCCCCAAAGCAGGAAGCAGCGUUCCAGCCCUCCAUCCAACUUCGGGUGGGAAAGACUCUGGCUUCCAGCACUCUGUCUCCUUCACACAGGUCAAACCUUAAGUGGCAAAUAUGAAUGAAUAAAUAAAGAAAUAAAAAUAAAUAAACAAACCUUGGUUAUCACUCAGGAUGCUAGCCACACAACAAGGCAAACAAAAUAAAAUGAACAGAAUAAAUAAAUGAAGAGGAUGACUUUCAAGACCCGACUCACACUCCCCAUUACAUUAAGUGGGACUGGGGAGAGUGGAUGGGAGUUAGGAGCUGGUGGGGAGGGUCAGCAGUGGCCAGAAGUCCCUGGGUCAUUGGGUGAAAGUCCCUUGACCUCAGUGGUCCCAGUCUCCACCCCCAGCUGUGCUAUGGGGAGUAGGAGGAGCUACACCUGGCACCCAGGGGACUGUGUAUCCUGAACCGGAAGAAAAGAGAACAGGACCCCACUGAGUGGCUCUGAAACCAGAAGGAUAUCAGGUGCCUUGGGCACCCAGCCCUCCUGGAGGACCAGCCCAGCCCAUGCCAUCAGGCUCUGUCCAGCAGGUGCCUGCAGGACCCAGGUGAGAUACCCAGCCAAUUGGGGGGGUCCAGGGCCUAGCAGAGGACGAAAGGGUGUCAUAAGGGCUUGCUCUCCAGAAGCAACACCAUGAAGACCAAAAGAGAUGCAAGUUGAAGGCGCCCACGGCACGCUCUGACUGCACCCUGCCCUUUUCUGGCCUUACAAACAUGCACCUCAUAUUUACAUACGUGCCUAGAUUCCACCUUCAAGGACAAAGACUGUGAAUAAAAAGCAAUAUUUUAGUCAAACAUUUCUGUGUCAAUUAAGAUGACGGCAAUUCGUUCCAGUCUAUAAAUUCUCUUUAACAAUC
Long non-coding RNA from Erinaceus europaeus (western European hedgehog), 945 nucleotides. RefSeq lists it as uncharacterized. The transcript has 2 exons. The record is from RefSeq and is a predicted model, not a curated record. NCBI's taxonomy places the organism in Eukaryota, Metazoa, Chordata, Mammalia, Eulipotyphla, Erinaceidae.